RNAcentral lists this transfer RNA (70 nucleotides) under Platypalpus agilis. RNAcentral's name for it is "tRNA-Trp". It matches the Rfam family "tRNA". From Rfam's summary of the family: Transfer RNA (tRNA) molecules are approximately 80 nucleotides in length. Their secondary structure includes four short double-helical elements and three loops (D, anti-codon, and T loops). The record is from RNAcentral. Lineage: Eukaryota; Metazoa; Arthropoda; Insecta; Diptera; Hybotidae.
AAGGCUUUAAGUUAAAUAAACUAAUAGCCUUCAAAGCUAUAAAUAAAUGUCAAUAAUCUUUUAAGCCUUA